CAGCAGCCGCGGGAAUACGUAGGUGGCAAGCGUUGUCCGGAUUUAUUGGGCGUAAAGCGAGCGCAGGCGGUUUCUUAAGUCUGAUGUGAAAGCCCCCGGCUCAACCGGGGAGGGUCAUUGGAAACUGGGAGACUUGAGUGCAGAAGAGGAGAGUGGAAUUCCAUGUGUAGCGGCGAAAUGCGUAGAUAUAUGGAGGAACACCAUUGGCGAAGGCGGCUAACUGGUCCAUAACUGACGCUGAGGUGCGAAAGCGUGGGGAGCAAACAGGAUUAGAUACCCCUGUAGUCCCUGUCUCUUAUAC
This 301-nucleotide ribosomal RNA is filed under the name uncultured bacterium. RNAcentral's name for it is "partial 16S ribosomal RNA". It matches the Rfam family "Bacterial small subunit ribosomal RNA", at positions 509 to 807 of the family's 1533-position model. The record is from RNAcentral.